GCACUGCUGACGAGUUCCAAACAGGACGAAACAACUGUGCAGUGC
Molecule: non-coding RNA, 45 nt
Filed under: Echinostoma caproni
Lineage: Eukaryota; Metazoa; Platyhelminthes; Trematoda; Plagiorchiida; Echinostomatidae
Source: RNAcentral